AUACGGAGGAUCCGAGCGUUAUCCGGAUUUAUUGGGUUUAAAGGGUGCGCAGGCGGCCAUUUAAGUCAGCGGUUAAAUCGUAGGGCUCAACCCCAUUCUGCCGUUGAUACUGGGUGGCUUGAUUGCGGUCGAGGUUGGCGGAAUUCGUUGUGUAGCGGUGAAAUGCAUAGAUAUGACGAAGAACACCGAUUGCGUAGGCAGCUGACCAGACCGCAAAUGACGCUCAUGCACGAAAGUGCGGGGAUCGAACAGGAUUAGAUACCCUGGUAGUCCGCACAGUAAACGAUGAAUACUUGUUUUCGGCGAUAUAAUGUCGGAGGCAAAGCGAAAGCGAUAAGUAUUCCACCUGGGGAGUACGCCGGCAACGGUGAAACUCAAAGGAAUUGACGGGG
RNAcentral lists this ribosomal RNA (392 nucleotides) under uncultured bacterium. RNAcentral's name for it is "partial 16S ribosomal RNA". It matches the Rfam family "Bacterial small subunit ribosomal RNA", at positions 523 to 918 of the family's 1533-position model. The record is from RNAcentral.